ACGAACGCUGGCGGCGUGCUUCACCCAUGCAAGUCGCACGGAAAGGCUUCUUUCGGGGGGUACUCGAGUGGCGAACGGGUGAGUAACACGUGAGUAACCUGCCCUUGACUUUGGGAUAACUUCAGGAAACUGGGGCUAAUACCGGAUAGGAGCUCCUGCUGCAUGGUGGGGGUUGGAAAGUUUCGGCGGUUGGGGAUGGACUCGCGGCUUAUCAGCUUGUUGGUGGGGUAGUGGCUUACCAAGGCUUUGACGGGUAGCCGGCCUGAGAGGGUGACCGGCCACAUUGGGACUGAGAUACGGCCCAGACUCCUACGGGAGGCAGCAGUGGGGAAUAUUGCACAAUGGGUGGAAGCCUGAUGCAGCAACGCCGUGUGCGGGAUGACGGCCUUCGGGUUGUAAACCGCUUUCGCCCAUGACGAAGCUUUGUGUGACGGUAGUGGGUAAAGAAGCACCGGCUAACUACGUG
RNAcentral lists this ribosomal RNA (466 nucleotides) under uncultured bacterium. Its description in RNAcentral is "partial 16S ribosomal RNA". It matches the Rfam family "Bacterial small subunit ribosomal RNA", at positions 29 to 507 of the family's 1533-position model. The record is from RNAcentral.